This 665-nucleotide ribosomal RNA is filed under the name Pontibacillus sp. TA47. RNAcentral describes it as "bacterial SSU rRNA". It matches the Rfam family "Bacterial small subunit ribosomal RNA", at positions 125 to 775 of the family's 1533-position model. Lineage: Bacteria; Bacillati; Bacillota; Bacilli; Caryophanales; Bacillaceae. The record is from RNAcentral.
CCUACCCAUGAGAUCGGGAUAACUCCGGGAAACCGGAGCUAAUACCGAAUAACCCAGUGAACUGCAUGGUUCACUGGUAAUUAUGCGGUUUCGGCCGUCACUCAUGGAUGGGCCCGCGGCGCAUUAGCUAGUUGGUAAGGUAACGGCUUACCAAGGCAACGAUGCGUAGCCGACCUGAGAGGGUGAUCGGCCACACUGGGACUGAGACACGGCCCAGACUCCUACGGGAGGCAGCAGUAGGGAAUCUUCCGCAAUGGACGAAAGUCUGACGGAGCAACGCCGCGUGAACGAUGAAGGUCUUCGGAUCGUAAAGUUCUGUUGUUAGGGAAGAACAAGUACCAGAGGAAAUGCUGGUACCUUGACGGUACCUAACCAGAAAGCCACGGCUAACUACGUGCCAGCAGCCGCGGUAAUACGUAGGUGGCAAGCGUUGUCCGGAAUUAUUGGGCGUAAAGCGCGCGCAGGCGGUUUCUUAAGUCUGAUGUGAAAGCCCACAGCUCAACUGUGGAGGGCCAUUGGAAACUGGGGAACUUGAGUACAGAAGAGGAGAGUGGAAUUCCACGUGUAGCGGUGAAAUGCGUAGAUAUGUGGAGGAACACCAGUGGCGAAGGCGACUCUCUGGUCUGUAACUGACGCUGAGGCGCGAAAGCGUGGGUAGCAAACAG